This 468-nucleotide ribosomal RNA is filed under the name uncultured bacterium. Its description in RNAcentral is "partial 16S ribosomal RNA". It matches the Rfam family "Bacterial small subunit ribosomal RNA", at positions 28 to 507 of the family's 1533-position model. The record is from RNAcentral.
GACGAACGCUGGCGGCGUGCUUAACACAUGCAAGUCGAACGGAAAGGCCCUGCUUUUGUGGGGUGCUCGAGUGGCGAACGGGUGAUUAACACGUGAGUAACCUGCCCUUGACUUUGGGAUAACUUCAGGAAACUGGGGCUAAUACCGGAUAGGAGCUCCUGCUGCAUGGUGGGGGUUGGAAAGUUUCGGCGGUUGGGGAUGGACUCGCGGCUUAUCAGCUUGUUGGUGGGGUAGUGGCUUACCAAGGCUUUGACGGGUAGCCGGCCUGAGAGGGUGACCGGCCACAUUGGGACUGAGAUACGGCCCAGACUCCUACGGGAGGCAGCAGUGGGGAAUAUUGCACAAUGGGCGGAAGCCUGAUGCAGAAACGCCGCGUGCGGGAUGACGGCCUUCGGGUUGUAAACCGCUUUCGCCUGUGACGAAGCGUGAGUGACGGUAAUGGGUAAAGAAGCACCGGCUAACUACGUG